AGGAAAUCUGAGAUAACUAAUCUCAGGACAUGCAGUUAAUUAAGAAGUGAACUGGAACAAAGGUCAUGGCUUUCAAAUCAGAAGCUAAUGUGUUGCCAGCUGGAAUGCAUGAAACCCCAUGAUAAACCUGUUUAAGAUUCUAAGGGGCUGAAGAGAAAUGACGUAUCCAGCCCUGAGCACCUUCCGCCACAUCUCUGACAACAGUCAGCUCAAGGCACUCUGACCCCACAGAUGAUUAUCUGUGAAUUUACAAUGCUGUCUACAAAAAGUGCCAGAAAAUUAGCACUUCUGAAUGCCUAUUUUGCAUUCUUCAACUACACUAUUAGAAUUCUUUUGUCAAGAGAAGCAUGCUACAUCAUUGUAUUCAUAUUAAACGCUCUUUGAUUUGUA
This is a non-coding RNA of Lonchura striata (white-rumped munia), 390 nucleotides long. NCBI's taxonomy places the organism in Eukaryota, Metazoa, Chordata, Aves, Passeriformes, Estrildidae. The record is from RefSeq and is a predicted model, not a curated record.